Molecule: ribosomal RNA, 750 nt
Filed under: uncultured bacterium
Lineage: Bacteria
Description: bacterial SSU rRNA
Rfam family: Bacterial small subunit ribosomal RNA
Source: RNAcentral
CAGGCCUAACACAUGCAAGUCGAGCGGACCAUUCCUUCGGGGAUGGUUAGCGGCGGACGGGUGAGUAACACGUAGGCAACCUGCCUGUAAGAUCGGGAUAACUACCGGAAACGGUAGCUAAGACCGGAUAGCUGGUUUCUCCGCAUGGGGGAAUCAUGAAACACGGGGCAACCUGUGGCUUACGGAUGGGCCUGCGGCGCAUUAGCUAGUUGGUGGGGUAAUGGCCCACCAAGGCGACGAUGCGUAGCCGACCUGAGAGGGUGAUCGGCCACACUGGGACUGAGACACGGCCCAGACUCCUACGGGAGGCAGCAGUAGGGAAUCUUCCGCAAUGGGCGCAAGCCUGACGGAGCAACGCCGCGUGAGUGAUGAAGGUUUUCGGAUCGUAAAGCUCUGUUGCCAAGGAAGAACGCCUCGGAGAGUAACUGCUCUGAGGGUGACGGUACUUGAGAAGAAAGCCCCGGCUAACUACGUGCCAGCAGCCGCGGUAAUACGUAGGGGGCAAGCGUUGUCCGGAAUUAUUGGGCGUAAAGCGCGCGCAGGCGGUCUUUUAAGUUUGGUGUUUAAGCCCGGGGCUCAACCCCGGUUCGCACUGAAAACUGGGAGACUUGAGUGCAGGAGAGGAAAGCGGAAUUCCACGUGUAGCGGUGAAAUGCGUAGAGAUGUGGAGGAACACCAGUGGCGAAAGGCGGCUUUCUGGACUGUAACUGACGCUGAGGCGCGAAAGCGUGGGGAGCAAACAGGAUUAGA